This 254-nucleotide ribosomal RNA is filed under the name uncultured bacterium. RNAcentral describes it as "partial 16S ribosomal RNA". It matches the Rfam family "Bacterial small subunit ribosomal RNA", at positions 524 to 776 of the family's 1533-position model. The record is from RNAcentral.
UACGAAGGUGUCGAACGUUGUCCGGAAUUACUGGGCGUAAAGGGCGCGUAGGUGGCUUGGCAAGCGUGUGGUGAAAGCCCGGGGCUCAACCCCGGGUCUGCCGUGCGAACUGCUAUGGCUUGAGCACUGUAGAGGCAGGUAGGAUUCCGGGUGUAGCGGUGGAAUGCGUAGAGAUCCGGAAGAAUACCGGUGGCGAAGGCGGCCUGCUGGGCAGUGGCUGACACUGAGGCGCGACAGCGUGGGGAGCAAACAGG